This 635-nucleotide ribosomal RNA is filed under the name uncultured bacterium. Its description in RNAcentral is "bacterial SSU rRNA". The stretch from base 1 to 532 matches the Rfam family "Bacterial small subunit ribosomal RNA", at positions 338 to 873 of the family's 1533-position model. The record is from RNAcentral.
CCUACGGGAGGCAGCAGUGGGGAAUAUUGCACAAUGGGCGAAAGCCUGAUGCAGCGACGCCGCGUGAGGGAUGACGGCCUUCGGGUUGUAAACCUCUUUCAGCAGGGAAGAAGCGAAAGUGACGGUACCUGCAGAAGAAGCGCCGGCUAACUACGUGCCAGCAGCCGCGGUAAUACGUAGGGCGCAAGCGUUGUCCGGAAUUAUUGGGCGUAAAGAGCUCGUAGGCGGCUUGUCACGUCGGGUGUGAAAGCCCGGGGNUUAACCCCGGGGUCUGCAUUCGAUACGGGCUAGGCUAGAGUGUGGUAGGGGAGAUCGGAAUUCCUGGUGUAGCGGUGAAAUGCGCAGAUAUCAGGAGGAACACCGGUGGCGAAGGCGGAUCUCUGGGCCAUUACUGACGCUGAGGAGCGAAAGCGUGGGGAGCGAACAGGAUUAGGAUACCCUGGUAGUCCACGCCGUAAACGGUGGGAACUAGGUGUUGGCGAACAUUCCACGUCGUCGGUGCCGCGACGCGUACGCACUAACGUUACCCGUCCGUCGGGUAGGUACGGCCGGCCGACGGACGUAAACGUACGAACGUAGUAAGUUAGUACGUUACGUUAGUAGACGUUGCCGACGGACGACGACGAGGGAGGAGG